RNAcentral lists this ribosomal RNA (447 nucleotides) under uncultured bacterium. RNAcentral's name for it is "bacterial SSU rRNA". It matches the Rfam family "Bacterial small subunit ribosomal RNA", at positions 1 to 499 of the family's 1533-position model. The record is from RNAcentral.
UUAGAGUUUGAUUCAUGGCUCAGAACGAACGCUGGCGGCAGGCCUAACACAUGCAAGUCGAGCGGAUCCUUCGGGAUUAGCGGCGGACGGGUGAGUAACGCGUGGGAACAUACCCUUUGGUACGGAAUAGCCUCGGGAAACUGAGAGUAAUACCGUAUGUGCCCUUCGGGGGAAAGAUUUAUCGCCAAAGGAUUGGCCCGCGUUGGAUUAGGUAGUUGGUGGGGUAAUGGCCUACCAGGGCGACGAUCCAUAGCUGGUUUGAGAGGAUGAUCAGCCACACUGGGACUGAGACACGGCCCAGACUCCUACGGGAGGCAGCAGUGGGGAAUCUUAGACAAUGGGGGAAACCCUGAUCUAGCCAUGCCGCGUGAUCGAUGAAGGCCUUAGGGUUGUAAAGAUCUUUCAGUGGGGAAGAUAAUGACGUACCCACAGAAGAAGCCCCGCAUC